AACCAUAGAAACCUGCGGAGUACCUGCGGAGGGAUCAUUACCGAGUUAUACAACUCAUCAACCCCUGUGAACUUACCUACAACGUUGCUUCGGCGGGAACAGACGGCCCCGUAAAACGGGCCGCCCCCGCCAGAGGACCCCUAACUCUGUUUUUAUAAUGUUUUUCUGAGUAAACGAGCAAAUAAAUUAAAACUUUCAACAAUGGAUCU
RNAcentral lists this unclassified non-coding RNA (209 nucleotides) under soil metagenome. RNAcentral's name for it is "partial contains 5.8S ribosomal RNA, internal transcribed spacer 2, and large subunit ribosomal RNA". The record is from RNAcentral.